UUGUCAGGCAGAUUCAUAAGUAAGAUUAUGAAAGGACUGUUUAUCCAGACUGAGGAAAUAACCUGCCUUUUCUGAGGUACUUUUUCCAUGGGAAUCAUUCCAUUUCAGACCAUCUGACCUGGUUGCUGAAGGGCCUCUGGCGACGACGUUAACCUAGUUCAGGUUUGUGUGUACACUUGAAGGUUACCUAGGGUGGCUCCCUCAGUACGUUGUAAUUCUAGCUCACCCGCCCAACCCCCAGGAUAAAUGGAUAGCUGCUUUUUUGAAUAAUGAGAUCCAGACAAGACAUAUCAUCAAAACAAAGAUCAUUUGUUUGCACCCUUUUCCUGCCCCAGCAGCAUCUUAUUCCAGCCCUUGUCGCCAGACCACACCCUUUAAUGGAGGGAGCAUUAGCCACCCAUCGAGGCCUGACUCUGGCCACUGAGAGUUUCUAGGAAUGGAGCAAGGAGGAGAAAUUCGGGGUGCCAGGUUAGAUUUUUUCCAGCUCGUGGGUUCAACUUAUUCCUGUAGUGAACAGAAUUUGCCUGGAAACAACUUCACAUGCAGUUUUGUAAAUAGCCACAAGGUGAGGAUGUGGCUCCAUGAACAUGUCGCAGCAGGACUUGGUCACUCAGCUCUGUGUCCUGUCAUUCUCUUCCCUCUUCUUCAUGUGCUUCUCUGCCUUCUGACUUGUUGCCUUGAUGGUUGAUACAGAGCUUGGAUUCUGGAGUGACGCAGUCCUGUGUUUAAAUCUCUCUGAGCCUUGGUUUCCCCCUCCGUGAGCGAAGAGAAGAGGACUUGCCUCCCAUGGGAAACUCCCUCUGGCCUGCUGCUAGCAGUUGUGUAAAUUGAUGCCACCCCUUUAGAGGGCCACUUGGCAACGUAGGCUCAAGUAUGUGCAGAAGGCCGACGGCUUCGGGGGAACACUGACCUAGUGACAUCUCAAUGGCCUUGGGAGAAGAAAAGGCAGAGGUGGAGGCAUCCGCAGCCGCAAAGGCCCUGUCCUAUGGGCAGUGGAGCUGCAGGGAGCAGGAAGCGGACACCCCAGGCCUCACGAGUGGGGAGCAGGAGCAGCCAGCACUCCCGGAACCUGAGGGAGGGUUCGCAUCCCCGGGGUGGGGAACAGAGGGGCCCCCUGCCCCAGCCUGCUGUGAUGGGGCUGGCCCCAGCCCCUCUGGAGCCUACCAGCCGCAGGCUAACAGCACCAGGAGGGAGUCGGUAGCUGGUAGAUCUAAGCCCGCUCUUGGCUGCCUGCCUCCUCCUCCUGCAGCGACUGGACACCGUUUGCACUCUGUGGAAAGCCAGGGCGCAGGUUCUUCCCUGAGCAGAUUAAAAACUCAGAGGGAAGAGGCUAAAAUGAGUGACUUGCUUUGCCAGCGUUCAGUUCCUACCGAGAUGGAGGAGACCAGGCUUUCUGCCUCAGAGGAGCUACCUCAGACCCUCACGGAUCCCAGAGCCACAGAUCUCUGCUCAGGACAUGAGGCCGAUACCGAAGAUGACCCAUCCCCAGUUGAGUCACCACGGGUGCUGGACCUCAGCCAGCAGCCUCAGCGCUCAGGUUUCCCUUUCCCAACAAGAUGGAGGUCUGUAGUGAGCCAAGGCGCUGCUGCUCCUCCGUUCUCCAGCUGCAGCGUCUCUGCCUCCUCCCCGGGCAGCAGUCUCCAGGGUCACCAGGAUGAGGCAGAAGCUCAGAGUUGCUCCAUUGCCAAGGUCUCAUCCUCCCUGGAGCUGGUCGUGCCCCAGUCGGCCCCCUCCGUGGUGGGGCCAGGGCCACGGCUCCAGUGGCCACCACAGCCUGCGUCCUCCGGGGUUGAUGCUCCUGGGCUGGGCAGGAGGCACCUCUCCUUCCAGGCCGAGUACUGGGCCUGUGUGCUGCCGGACUCCUUGCCUCCUUCCCCCGACCGCCACUCCCCACUCUGGAAUCCGAAUAAGGAGUAUGAAGACCUGCUGGACUAUACUUACCCGCUCAGGCCCAAGCCUCACCUCCCAAAGCACCUUGACAGCCACAAGCUGGCUGAUCCUAUCUUGCAGGACUCGGGUGUAGACCUGGAUAGCUUUUCUGUUUCCCCCGCAAGUACCCUGAAGUUCCCUACUAAUGGCUCCCAGAAUUGCCCAUCAGCAGAGGCCUCUGCCCUGCCAUUCUCUAGGCCCAGAGAGCCGAGCCUUAUGCGGUGGCCCUCUGGAGCACCCCAGAAGCAGUGCAGUGUGGGGUUGGCAUCUUGUAACCAGCUCACUUCUACCCCCAGAGCCUCGGGCGGCAGAGACGCUCCUUGGGAGAGCAGAGAGCCAGCCCAGAGGUAUGUGAAGGACUGGCUGCCGAUGGACAAGCGCCCUGAGGAGGGCUCUCCCCAGCUGAGGACAUGCGACAGAGGCUGGCCCUUGCCCAGGACAGAGAGAGAGAAGGGGGCCAGCCAGGGUGGCGGGCACCCGGCCUGCACAGAGUCUAGAUGGAAACCAGAAGAGGAGGUGGAAAGUGAUGACGAGUAUCUCGCCCUGCCCGCUCGGCUGACACAGGUUUCUAGUUUGGUUUCAUGUCUAGGUUCUAGUCCUACCUUGGUGACCCUGCCCACUGGGUCUGCUGAAGGGCAGACCUCCCUCAACGUGUCAGACAGCGAUGGGCCUGCCUCCCUCCCGUCGGACUCCAGCCAGAGCCAUCUUCCUUCUGGGGCCGCCCUCAGGGGGUCCAGGGGCCCUGAGGGCCAGAACCACCGUUUGCUCUGCUCCUUCGUCCGUGCAAGGGGCUCUGCGGGGGAAGGCGGUCUGGGGAGCAGCCAGGCCCUGGGAGUCUCCUCUGGACCCCUGACAGCACACUCUUCUUUGCCAGCUGUGUGGGAUCAGCGUGCAUUCUUAGCCCCAGAUGGUGAUGGGCAGCCUCCUGGGAAAGGAGAGCCCGGAAAAGAAUCACUCGUGCAGUGUGUGGAGACGUUCUGCUGUCAGCUGGAAGAGCUGAUCGGCUGGCUGUAUAACAUAGCCGACGUUACCGACCACUUGAUUCCAUCCAAGUCCAAUCUUACAGGUCUCAAGUCUUCUCUGCAGCUUUACCGGCAAUUUAAGAAAGAUAUAGAUGAACACCAGUCCCUGACAGAGAGCGUCUUACAGAAAGGGGAGAUUCUUCUUCAGUGCCUCUUGGACAGCACUCCAGUGUUAAAGGAUGUUCUCGGGAGGAUCUCGAAGCAGCCCAGCGAGCUGGAGAGCCACGCAGAUCGCCUGUAUGAUGCCAUCUUAGCUUCCCUGGACAUGCUGGCUGGCUGCACCCUCAUCCCUGACCACACGACGGCGGCACACGGGAGCACCGACGUGAAGGGGAUUAGCCUGCAGGGAAUGAUAGGGAAAAGGAGCUGAGAGCAGAGGGGGUUCGUGCCCAGCGUGGGGCCGCCACUGCCUAACAUACUUUCCCUGAGACUUCCUCUCCUGCCACCAAAAUACGGUGCGUCACUCACAGACCUUCUAGGUGAGACUUCACUGGAGCCGAAAGUUAAGGAUAAAGGCAUCUUCUCAGGCAGAGAUGUAAUGUGUCGGCUAAAACCUGGCUGGUGGGAAACUUUCAGGAAGCCCUUGUAAGAGCCAUUUAUAACACUGAAAUCAAGGGGGAAACUUAACUCUAAUGUACUAACAAGUUUUAAAAUGCCUUUCUCUUCCCUGAA
Molecule: RNA transcript, 3623 nt
Organism: Hyaena hyaena (striped hyena)
Lineage: Eukaryota; Metazoa; Chordata; Mammalia; Carnivora; Hyaenidae
Gene: CEP68
Gene name: centrosomal protein 68
Exons: 9
Source: RefSeq, a predicted model, not a curated record